RNAcentral lists this ribosomal RNA (499 nucleotides) under uncultured bacterium. Its description in RNAcentral is "bacterial SSU rRNA". It matches the Rfam family "Bacterial small subunit ribosomal RNA", at positions 9 to 489 of the family's 1533-position model. The record is from RNAcentral.
GAGUUUGAACCUGGCUCAGGAUGAACGCUGGCGGCGUGCCUAAUACAUGCAAGUCGAGCGAACAGAUGAGAAGCUUGCUUCUCUGAUGUUAGCGGCGGACGGGUGAGUAACACGUGGGUAACUUACCUAUAAGACUGGGAUAACUCCGGGAAACCGGGGCUAAUACCGGAUAAUAUAUUGAACCGCAUGGUUCAAUGUUGAAAGACGGUUUCGGCUGUCACUUAUAGAUGGACCCGCGCCGUAUUAGCUAGUUGGUAAGGUAACGGCUUACCAAGGCAACGAUACGUAGCCGACCUGAGAGGGUGAUCGGCCACACUGGAACUGAGACACGGUCCAGACUCCUACGGGAGGCAGCAGUAGGGAAUCUUCCGCAAUGGGCGAAAGCCUGACGGAGCAACGCCGCGUGAGUGAUGAAGGUCUUAGGAUCGUAAAACUCUGUUGUUAGGGAAGAACAAAUUUGUUGGUAACUGAACAAGUCUUGACGGUACCUAACCAGAAA